Boleophthalmus pectinirostris (great blue-spotted mudskipper) is the source of this 1961-nucleotide long non-coding RNA. RefSeq lists it as uncharacterized. The transcript has 3 exons. Lineage: Eukaryota; Metazoa; Chordata; Actinopteri; Gobiiformes; Gobiidae. The record is from RefSeq and is a predicted model, not a curated record.
UACACUCAGAGCUCCAGCUUCUUCAAAACUCAAGUCUAUGUCAGUGGUAUAAUUCAGGAUGAAUGUAUUUUAGCAAGCCCUUUUCUUUAUUUCAUUUUACGUGUUGUAAUUGUGGAUUCUGCUCUUUGGAAAUAUGUUUAUUCACAUCUUACUAAUCUUAAUGCUGUGUUCAGGUGUUUCAACAAACGCCAAAGUCCCCAAGACGUACAGGUUUAAACCACAGAAGAAGAAACCAUCCAUUAUGGGGAGCUUGACUUUUCUCAUGUGACUCCUAAACACGUCCCCAGUGCAGAAGAAGAGGAAACUGUCUACUCCCAGGUUCAGGGUUCAAAGCCUGUAGAGACCAGCGGACAAGAUGAAGAUGAUUCUCAAAGCCUUUAUGCCAAUGUAAAGAAAGUUAACUCAGGACAAUCAUAUUCAGCUCAAAAUUAGUGCUGCUACACUGCCAUCUGCUGGUGUGAUCAUGACAGACUACAGCAUGACAUCCUCAUAUUUACUCAUACCAGUGUUUUUUAAAGGUAGACUUAUAUAAAACUUUAUAUAACUUACUUACUGUACUGGAGGGUACAUCAUCUGUUAUUCACCAUCAAAAUGUUAGUGUGUAGCCUGGAAUGUUCCACAGUUGGACAUUAAACUUAUCUUUUCUUUAUCUAGGCAUUUUUAUUGCACUUGCUUUUUGAAUUCUGUAAAUAAUAUAUGUACUGUUUAAUCAUGUAGAAUAUAAUGUGAUAUUGAACCCACUGAACAAAUGUAACAGCCUGAAUUGAGCGUGGUGUUUCUUCCUUACUUUUCUGAAUGUUAGGACCUUUCUGCUUUGUGGAGUUGACUAUUUUUUUAAGUGCAUUAUUUGGGUUUUAGAUUGAUUUAUGGCCAGCCUCCACCAACAGCACCACUUGUGUUUAUCAAUAUCAAUAGCAUAGAGCAAAAUGCCCACUGUCCAUGUGCACCUAACUUUGUUUUCAAAAGCCAUGUCAUUUAUGAAGACCCAGAACAGGCUUGGGGACAAAACAUGCCAUUGUUUUACACCAGUAGGUAUGUGGAACCACUCGGUCUGUAGAUCAUUCACUUGAACACAUUCCAUACAUCCUGCAUAGAGGGAUUUUAAUGCAUGGUAUGAUACAUCAGCUGUGUGUGCAAAUGUAAACACCUGAAAAGUGUUUGCACCAGAAGAAAUGUGAAUGCUGCUCUGAAUGCUCCAUUAUCAUUAUCAGAGUGAAAAGUAAAUGAAGGGAAAUGUCUCUUUUUUUAAAACUUCCCGGGUAUGUGUAAAUGGGGCCAGAGAUGGUGCCGUCACAGAUAACUGAAUAGAAAUUUAGGCCUGUGUUUACACGUACAUGGGUAUUUUUAAAAACUGAGACAUUUCUGUUUGUUUGUUCCCAUCUUUUUCACGCAAACGGUGAAUUUGCCUCUGAAAACAAAUUUCUCUAAAAACUGAGGUGGAGAUUCUGGAAAACUAUGGUUUGGCGUUUGCGUGUAAAGUGAGAUAAACAGAGUUUUAGGAGCUGGUGCGCCAAAAGUGUGAUCUGUGUUUACCUUUUGCUCUGAUGAUGAUGAUGAUGAAACAUUCAGAGCAGCAGUCAAAUUUCUUCUGAGGCAAACACUUUUCAUGUGUUUGCUUUUGCACACACAGCUGAUGGAUCGUAUCCAUGACCAGAGACCAAUGAGGCUCGGAGGUCAGCAAUUUUACCACCACUUCACGCUCAGUAAUGCACAUUUUUCAAAGUAUUUUUGAGUAAUAUUUACAACUGUAAUGAAAUAAAUGCUACAGGUUGGAAUCUAAUCCAGGUGCCGCCCAGAGGCUUGACGUAGUUAUGAUGGCGCUCGGUGGCGUAUUUAUGUGGGUUGUGUGAUGUAUUCUGUUAUAAAGUUUGCUUUUAUUGUGAAACCCCGAACUGGAAGUUCUAACAUGACUCUGUAAGAUGUAUAUAGCAGAGAGACAAAUAAAAGAAGAGGAAUGUUGA